AUUGAACGCUGGCGGCACGCUUAACACAUGCAAGUCGAACGGCAGCAGCACCGAGCUUGCUCGGUGGCUGGCGAGUGGCGGACGGGUGAGUAACACGUAGGAAUCUACCCUUUAGCCUGGGAUAACUCGGGGAAACUCGAGCUAAUACCGGAUAAUCUCUUCGGAGCAAAGAUGGCCACUCCUUGGAAGCUGUCACUGAAGGCAGGGCCUACGUCGGAUUAGCUAGUUGGUGGGGUAAAGGCCUACCAAGGCGACGAUCCGUAGCUGGUCUGAGAGGACGAACAGCCACACUGGGACUGAGACACGGCCCAGACUCCUACGGGAGGCAGCAGUGGGGAAUAUUGGACAAUGGGGGCAACCCUGAUCCAGCGAUGCCGCGUGUGUGAAGAAGGCCUGCGGGUUGUAAAGCACUUUAGCUAGGGAGGAGUAGAGUUUGUUUAAGAGAUGAACUUGAAGACGUUACCUAGAGAAUAAGCACCGGCUAACUCUGUG
Molecule: ribosomal RNA, 492 nt
Filed under: uncultured bacterium
Lineage: Bacteria
Description: bacterial SSU rRNA
Rfam family: Bacterial small subunit ribosomal RNA
Source: RNAcentral